GUUAUUUUGGCAGAUGAGUGCAUUAGAUUUAGAAUCUACUUACGUAGGGGAACCCUACAGAUAACA
RNAcentral lists this transfer RNA (66 nucleotides) under Occasjapyx japonicus. RNAcentral's name for it is "tRNA-Leu". It matches the Rfam family "tRNA". From Rfam's summary of the family: Transfer RNA (tRNA) molecules are approximately 80 nucleotides in length. Their secondary structure includes four short double-helical elements and three loops (D, anti-codon, and T loops). Lineage: Eukaryota; Metazoa; Arthropoda; Diplura; Dicellurata; Japygidae. The record is from RNAcentral.